UGGGGAAUUUUGGACAAUGGGGGAAACCCUGAUCCAGCCAUCCCGCGUGUGCGAUGAAGGCCUUCGGGUUGUAAAGCACUUUUGGCAGGAAAGAAACGUCGCGGGUUAAUACCCCGCGAAACUGACGGUACCUGCAGAAUAAGCACCGGCUAACUACGUGCCAGCAGCCGCGGUAAUACGUAGGGUGCAAGCGUUAAUCGGAAUUACUGGGCGUAAAGCGUGCGCAGGCGGUUCGGAAAGAAAGAUGUGAAAUCCCAGAGCUUAACUUUGGAACUGCAUUUUUAACUACCGGGCUAGAGUGUGUCAGAGGGAGGUGGAAUUCCGCGUGUAGCAGUGAAAUGCGUAGAUAUGCGGAGGAACACCGAUGGCGAAGGCAGCCUCCUGGGAUAACACUGACGCUCAUGCACGAAAGCGUGGGGAGCAAACAGGAUUAGAUACCCUGGUAGUCCACGCCCUAAACGAUGUCAACUAGCUGUUGGGGCCUUCGGGCCUUGGUAGCGCAGCUAACGCGUGAAGUUGACCGCCUGGGGAGUGCGGUCGCAAGAUUAAAACUCAAAUGAAUUGCGGGGUCAUAGCUGUUUCCU
This 584-nucleotide ribosomal RNA is filed under the name uncultured bacterium. RNAcentral's name for it is "partial 16S ribosomal RNA". It matches the Rfam family "Bacterial small subunit ribosomal RNA", at positions 355 to 1376 of the family's 1533-position model. The record is from RNAcentral.